GGUCCCAUCGACUAGGGGUUAGGUCGCCACUCUUUCACAGUGAAAACACGGGUUUCGAAUCCCGUUGGGACCG
RNAcentral lists this transfer RNA (73 nucleotides) under Ignavibacteria bacterium. RNAcentral's name for it is "tRNA-Glu". It matches the Rfam family "tRNA". Rfam says of the family: Transfer RNA (tRNA) molecules are approximately 80 nucleotides in length. Their secondary structure includes four short double-helical elements and three loops (D, anti-codon, and T loops). The record is from RNAcentral. Lineage: Bacteria; Pseudomonadati; Ignavibacteriota; Ignavibacteria.